RNAcentral lists this non-coding RNA (27 nucleotides) under Mus musculus (house mouse). Lineage: Eukaryota; Metazoa; Chordata; Mammalia; Rodentia; Muridae. The record is from RNAcentral.
CACUAUCUCAUGAAAGGUUCCAGUCAG